AUCUCCACAAAUUCGUCGGCGAUAACGGGUAAUUUUCUAUCGCAGAACGGAUGCUUGACGCAUUUUCCGACAAGGUGAGAAUACCGAGGGUCUUUGGGAUGCACGGCCACAGCAACGUCUCCGAGCAUUGUCUCGAUACGAGUCGUGGCCACUACAACCUUUUCGUUUGAAUCUUCGACCUCAUAAGCAAAGGACACCAGCACACCGAAUUCAAUCUUUUCUGUGUACCCGGGUAUGGAGAGGAGCGUUUUGCCGGUCAGCUCCACUUUGUCCACCUUGAAAUAAGGGUGACAUUCAACAUGAGUGCAGGACCAAUUGACGAGACGGUUACUCCUGUAGAUAUCUCCCGACUCAUGAAGGCGUACGAAAGCUUCGGUCACCGCGCGACAGAGUUUUGGAUCCAUCGUGAAACAAGCUCUCUCCCAGUCCGGCGAACCGCCCAAUUUCCGAAGUUGAGUAUAAAUGUGAUCACCUUUC
RNAcentral lists this unclassified non-coding RNA (477 nucleotides) under Athalia rosae (coleseed sawfly). RNAcentral describes it as "misc RNA ENSAEAG00005011436.1". Lineage: Eukaryota; Metazoa; Arthropoda; Insecta; Hymenoptera; Athaliidae. The record is from RNAcentral.